GUAGGUGGCAAGCGUUGUCCGGAAUUAUUGGGCGUAAAGCGCGCGCAGGCGGUCCUUUAAGUCUGAUGUGAAAGCCCACGGCUCAACCGUGGAGGGUCAUUGGAAACUGGGGGACUUGAGUACAGAAGAGGAAAGCGGAAUUCCAAGUGUAGCGGUGAAAUGCGUAGAGAUUUGGAGGAACACCAGUGGCGAAGGCGGCUUUCUGGUCUGUAACUGACGCUGAGGCGCGAAAGCGUGGGGAGCAAACAGGAUUAGAUACCCUGGUAGUCCACGCCGUAAACGAUGUGUGCUAAGUGUUAGGGGGUUUCCCGCCCCCCUUAGUGCUGCAGCUAACGCAUUAAGCACUCCGCCUGGGGGAGUACGGCCGCAAGGCUG
Molecule: ribosomal RNA, 375 nt
Filed under: uncultured organism
Description: partial 16S ribosomal RNA
Rfam family: Bacterial small subunit ribosomal RNA
Source: RNAcentral